Molecule: ribosomal RNA, 473 nt
Filed under: uncultured bacterium
Lineage: Bacteria
Description: bacterial SSU rRNA
Rfam family: Bacterial small subunit ribosomal RNA
Source: RNAcentral
ACUCCUACGGGAGGCAGCAGUGGGGAAUAUUGCACAAUGGGCGCAAGCCUGAUGCAGCCAUGCCGCGUGUGUGAAGAAGGCCUUCGGGUUGUAAAGCACUUUCAGUCGUGAGGAAGGUAGUGUAGUUAAUAGCUGCAUUAUUUGACGUUAGCGACAGAAGAAGCACCGGCUAACUCCGUGCCAGCAGCCGCGGUAAUACGGAGGGUGCGAGCGUUAAUCGGAAUUACUGGGCGUAAAGCGCGUGUAGGUGGCUUGUUAAGCCAGAUGUGAAAGCCCCGGCUCAACCUGGGAACUGCAUUUGGAACUGGCAGGCUAGAGUUUUGUAGAGGUGGUAGAAUUUCGAGGUGUAGCGGUGAAAUGCAGUAGAGAUCUGAAGGAAUACCGGUGGCGAAGGCGACACCUGGCCAAUAACUGACACUGAGACGCGAAGGCGUGGGUAGCAAACGGGAUUAGAUACCCUGGUAGCUACGAGU